UACGGGGGGGGGCAAGCGUUGUUCGGAAUCACUGGGCUUAAAGGGCGCGUAGGCGGGCUGUCAAGUCUGGGGUGAAAUCCCGCGGCUCAACCGUGGAACUGCCUUAGAUACUGACGGCCUCGAGGGAGAUAGGGGCGAGCGGAACUGUGAGUGGAGCGGUGAAAUGCGUUGAUACUCACAGGAACUCCGGUGGCGAAGGCGGCUCGCUGGAUCUCUUCUGACGCUGAGGCGCGAAAGCUAGGGGAGCAAACGGG
This 254-nucleotide ribosomal RNA is filed under the name uncultured bacterium. Its description in RNAcentral is "partial 16S ribosomal RNA". It matches the Rfam family "Bacterial small subunit ribosomal RNA", at positions 524 to 776 of the family's 1533-position model. The record is from RNAcentral.